This 400-nucleotide transfer-messenger RNA is filed under the name Chlorobiota bacterium. It matches the Rfam family "transfer-messenger RNA". From Rfam's summary of the family: Bacterial tmRNA, also known as 10Sa RNA or SsrA, is named for its dual tRNA and mRNA-like properties. Its role is to liberate the mRNA from a stalled ribosome. Lineage: Bacteria; Pseudomonadati; Chlorobiota. The record is from RNAcentral.
GGGGGUGACGUGGUUUCGACGGAGUACGACAGCCGACGUAGCUGCAUGCCGAGCUUGCUGGUGAUGCUCGUAAAUACAACCAGCAAAGGCAAAAUGCCAACUCGUACAGCUACGCAAUGGCAGCCUAAUAGUUAGGGCGCCAUUGUUGGGAUGCGUUGAGCGAAGCUCCGCUCCCUGCUGCCUGCAUAGGCGCCAUCACCUAUGCGGAUGCAGCAUCGGACACCUGAUGGCCGGUUUCUGCAGUGUAUCGUUCCGCUGCAGGAACUGCUCACAAGAACGAUAGCUCCACCGCGCGUGUCGCUCCGCUACCGGUGGAGUAAAGCUCCAUAGAGCGACUGAGCAUGGAGACGCUACGCGACUGGUACUUCGGACCCGGGUUCGACUCCCGGCACCUCCACAG